CGUUGUUGCUACCGUAAAGCAACCCGUCCUUUUCGCGGUAUUUUGUAGUCGCUAACCAAACUCCCAGGAGCGCGGUUUGAGGGGAGCGUGGGAAAGAAACAAAAUCAUCCGGUCUGUUAGAAGUCUGUGUGUCAUAAGAAUGAUUAUGAAACCUAUAUUUAAAGGUAAAAAAGCUUACGUACAGUUGUUUUAAAGAGGACUUUAUUUGAGGCCAGAAUAUUUAUUUUGCAGUGGGGCCAGUAAACAAGCAAUCAGAACACCAGCAGAAAUAUGCAAAAACCAAUUAGAGCCCCUUAGCAACCACACAACAAUGUGCUAUAAACCAAUAAGAGCAUCCUAGCAAAUGCAUAGUAACACAUUAGUCAACAAAAGCCUCUCACAUUUUCACAACUUGUACCUGAGGUCUUACAUUAGCUAUUAUUUUGUGGGAAAGUUAUUUUUAGGCACCAUCUCUUGACAUUUGUUUAUUCAUCCUGAGCUGGCAGCACUCUUUGAUUAGAUUUGUCAUAAAUGUUGACUGUUGAGCCUGGAAAGCUUGGACUCGAUGGAGUGAGUUCAAACAGACAGUGAUCUACGAGGAAGCAAAUCAUUUGAGAGAUGAGAAAGUGUGGCAAACAGGUUUGGAACGACAUGAGGGAAUCUGGAGCGGAGGAUUGAUAAGCAUAAAGGUCAGAGGUCAACGAGUGCAAGUUCUCGUUUGAGAUGUGCUCAGGCUUCCUGCGAAUUUGUUUCUGAUUAUGGUGUUGUUCUUGAUGGUUUGGCCUGGAUCACAUAAAAUUGCAUAAUGCCUUGACUUAGCAUCAUAAACUUUUAAAAUAAAGUCAGGGUUGGUUAAAAAUGACUUAAUUACAUUCUAACCUUUAGAAAGAUCUUAUAGUU
Molecule: long non-coding RNA, 879 nt
Organism: Onychostoma macrolepis
Lineage: Eukaryota; Metazoa; Chordata; Actinopteri; Cypriniformes; Cyprinidae
Exons: 3
Source: RefSeq, a predicted model, not a curated record